UAGUGACCAAGGUCAAGGUUGUGAUGCGC
Molecule: non-coding RNA, 29 nt
Filed under: Rattus norvegicus (Norway rat)
Lineage: Eukaryota; Metazoa; Chordata; Mammalia; Rodentia; Muridae
Source: RNAcentral